CAGUCGCCGCGGUAAUACGAAGGGUGCAAGCGUUAAUCGGAAUUACUGGGCGUAAAGCGUGCGUAGGCGGUGAGUUAAGUCUGCUGUGAAAUCCCCGGGCUCAACCUGGGAAUGGCAGUGGAUACUGGCUCGCUAGAGUGUGUCAGAGGAUGGUGGAAUUCCCGGUGUAGCGGUGAAAUGCGUAGAGAUCGGAAGGAACAUCUGUGGCGAAGGCGACUAUCUGGGCCAACACUGACACUGAGGCACGAAAGCGUGGGGAGCAAACAGGAUUAGAUACCCGGGUAGUCCCUGUCUCUUAUAC
Molecule: ribosomal RNA, 301 nt
Filed under: uncultured bacterium
Lineage: Bacteria
Description: partial 16S ribosomal RNA
Rfam family: Bacterial small subunit ribosomal RNA
Source: RNAcentral